UGCCAGCAGCCGCGGUAAUACGGAGGGGGCAAGCGUUAUUCGGAUUUACUGGGCGUAAAGGGCGUGUAGGCGGCUUGAUAGGUCAAAGGUGAAAGCCCUCGGCUCAACCGAGGAACUGCCUUUGAAACCAUCUGGCUCGAGGCCGGGAGGGGGUAGUGGAAUUCCUGGUGUAGCGGUGAAAUGCGUAGAUAUCAGGAGGAACACCAGUGGCGAAGGCGGCUACCUGGACCGGUUCUGACGCUGAGGCGCGAAAGCGUGGGGAGCAAACAGGAUUAGAUA
Molecule: ribosomal RNA, 279 nt
Filed under: uncultured bacterium
Lineage: Bacteria
Description: partial 16S ribosomal RNA
Rfam family: Bacterial small subunit ribosomal RNA
Source: RNAcentral